GUUUGAAGGACGGAGUUGUAUGCUUGUACCUUUUGGGGGAGGGGAGGGGAACUGGUGACCUGGAGUGAGAAGUUAACAGAAAAAGUGCGCAGGAGAGUGUGGAUAAUAUAGGAAUAGGACUACUUUGUUAGAGCUGCUGCGGAGCUUGUUUGACAUAAGUCUUACAUCAGAAAGGGUUGCUGGAAUAACAGAUGUGCCAGAUCUUAAAACCAGAAGUUUUGUCUUUCACCUUCAUCAUGUUUAGUAAGGAUAUGAGACUUGGUGGUUUUGAGACUCCUCCUGAAUCCCACGAAGAUAUUUUAGCUGCUGCUGUUUGUGAUCAGGUAUGUUCAGAUAUAGCUUAAGGGACUAUCGUAACGCACCAACACUAGGAGUUGAAAGGCCUGCCUAAAAGAAAGGAAAAUGUACCAGCUGGAAGAGCUGGUUCAGAAGACAUUUCUCAAUAACAGCACUUGUUGGAGAUAAGUGUCCAACAUCUUUCAUUCACUACCCCCCUGCAUGAAAUAAACUCCAUUCUGUAGUUCA
RNAcentral lists this long non-coding RNA (525 nucleotides) under Numida meleagris (helmeted guineafowl). RNAcentral describes it as "lncRNA (ENSNMEG00000011144.1)". Lineage: Eukaryota; Metazoa; Chordata; Aves; Galliformes; Numididae. The record is from RNAcentral.